UAACGUGGGACGGGUGAUUAAAACUGGGGCAACCUGCCUCGUAUAGGGGAAUACCCUUUCGAAAGGAACAUUAAUACCGCAUAAUAUUGUUGAAAGGGAUCUUUUAACAAUCAAAGGAGCUGUCCAUCUAUGAGAUGGGCCCGCGGCGCAUUAUCUAUUUGGUGAGGUAACGGCUCACCAGAGGCUACGAUGCGUACCCGACCUGAGAGGGUGAUCGGCCACAUUGGAACUCGAGACACUGUCCAGACUCCUACGGGAGAGCACCAUUGGGGAAUAUGUGCUCAAUGGUGGGAAACCCUGAUGCAGCGACUCCACGUGAGUGAUGAAGGUCUUCGGAUUGUGAAGCUCUGUCUUUAGGGACGAUAAUGACGGUACCUAACGAGGAAGCCACGGCUAAACUACGUGCCAGCAGCCGCGGUAAUACGUAGGUGGCAAGCGUUAUCCGGAUUUUCUGGGCGUAAAGGGAGGGUAGGCGGAUAUUUAAGUUGGAUGUGAAAUACCCGAGCUUCACUUGGGAGAUGCGCUUCCAAACUGGAUAUUUAGAGUGCAGGAGAGGAGAAUGGAAUUCCUAGUGGAGCGGUGAAAUGCGUAGAGAUUAGGAAGAACACCAGUGGCGAAGGCGAUUCUCUGGAUAUUAACUCACGUUGAGGCUAGAAAGCGUGGGGAGCAAACAUGAUUAGAUACCAUGGUUAGUCCACGCCGUAAACGAUGAAUAGUAGAUGUAGGGAGCCCCAAGCAUCUGUGCCGCAAUCUAACGCAUACAGUAUUCACACUCGGGAGUUCGGUAGCAAGAUUACCACUCAAAGAAAUUGACGGGGACCCGCACAAGCAGAGGAGCAUGUUGCUUUAAUUGGAAGCAUCAUGAAGAUCUUUCCCUAGACAAACAUUGUCAUUAAUAACACGUUAUUGCGGAAGUUCGUUUGGGAACAGUGAACACAGUUGGUGCAUGGUCUUGAUCUAGCUAGUGUCGCGCUGAUGUUGGGAUGUAAGUCCCGCUAUCUGCAGCUCACACACGUUACUGUUAGUCGUUUCCAUCAAGUUGACCACUCUAGCGAGACUGCCCGGGUUAACCGCGAGGAAUGUGGUGAGGAGGUCAAUUCUUCAUGCCCAUUAUAUCUAGGGCAUCAUACCCGUUACAAGGGCAAGCACAAAGAGAAGCUAAUCAUGUGAAGUGGAGCAAAAUUCAAAAACUUGUGUCAGUUCGGUACUGUAGGAGUAAACUCGUCUACCUGAAACCGGAGUUGCUAGUAAUCGCGAAUAAGAAUGUGGCAGGUGAACAAGUUUUCGUCUUUAGUACACACCACCCUUCA
This 1310-nucleotide ribosomal RNA is filed under the name uncultured bacterium. RNAcentral's name for it is "partial 16S ribosomal RNA". It matches the Rfam family "Bacterial small subunit ribosomal RNA", at positions 93 to 1399 of the family's 1533-position model. The record is from RNAcentral.